This 321-nucleotide ribosomal RNA is filed under the name uncultured bacterium. RNAcentral describes it as "bacterial SSU rRNA". It matches the Rfam family "Bacterial small subunit ribosomal RNA", at positions 28 to 350 of the family's 1533-position model. The record is from RNAcentral.
GAUGAACGCUAGCGGCAGGCUUAAUACAUGCAAGUCGAGGGGCAGCAUAAGUAGCAAUACUUGAUGGCGACCGGCAAACGGGUGCGGAACACGUACGCAACCUUCCUUUAAGUGGGGAAUAGCCCGGGGAACCGGAUUAAUACCCGUAAUAUUAUGAUGUGGCAUCACAUUAUAAUUAUAGAUUCAUCGCUUAAAGAUGGGCGUGCGCCUGAUUAGGUAGUUGGCGGAGUAAAGCCCACCAAGCCUGCGAUCAGUAACUGGUGUGAGAGCACGACCAGUCACACGGGCACUGAGACACGGGCCCGACUCCUACGGGAGGCA